RNAcentral lists this ribosomal RNA (541 nucleotides) under uncultured Acaulospora. Its description in RNAcentral is "SSU rRNA". It matches the Rfam family "Eukaryotic small subunit ribosomal RNA", at positions 486 to 1056 of the family's 1831-position model. The record is from RNAcentral. Lineage: Eukaryota; Fungi; Glomeromycota; Glomeromycetes; Diversisporales; Acaulosporaceae.
CCGGGGCGCGCCCCGGGCGGGGCGGGGGCACGGGGGUUGGAGGGCAAGUCUGGUGCCAGCAGCCGCGGUAAUUCCAGCUCCAAUAGCGUAUAUUAAAGUUGUUGCAGUUAAAAAGCUCGUAGUUGAAUUUCGGAAUUUGUCGGUUGGUCGGGCUUCACUGUCCGCACUGACCUGAUGGAUUCCUACCUUCUGAAUAACCAGCAUGCUAUUAAUUUAGUGCGUUGGGGAAGCAGAGCUAUUACCUUGAAAAAAUUAGAGUGCUUAAAGCAGGCUUGUGCUUGAAUAGAUUAGCAUGGAAUAAUAAAAUAGGACGGCAUGGUUCUAUUUUGUUGGUUUCUAGGAUCACCGUAAUGAUUAAUAGGGAUAGUUGGGGGCAUUAGUAUUCAAUUGUCAGAGGUGAAAUUCUUGGAUUUAUUGAAGACUAACUUUUGCGAAAGCAUUUGCCAAGGAUGUUUUCAUUAAUCAAGAACGAAAGUUAGGGGAUCGAAGACGAUCAGAUACCGUCGUAGUCUAACCAUAAACUAUGCCGACUAGGAUCGAC